AUGUCUAGAGCAAGACAAGGUCUCAUUUAC
RNAcentral lists this non-coding RNA (30 nucleotides) under Rattus norvegicus (Norway rat). Lineage: Eukaryota; Metazoa; Chordata; Mammalia; Rodentia; Muridae. The record is from RNAcentral.